Molecule: ribosomal RNA, 253 nt
Filed under: uncultured bacterium
Lineage: Bacteria
Description: partial 16S ribosomal RNA
Rfam family: Bacterial small subunit ribosomal RNA
Source: RNAcentral
UACGUAGUUUUCCCUCGUUACUCGUCCUUCCUUUGCGUAAAGCGUGCGCAGGCGGUUAUGCAAGACAGAUGUGAAAUCCCCGGGCUCAACCUGGGAACUGCAUUUGUGACUGCAUAGCUAGAGUACGGUAGAGGGGGAUGGAAUUCCGCGUGUAGCAGUGAAAUGCGUAGAUAUGCGGAGGAACACCGAUGGCGAAGGCAAUCCCCUGGACCUGUACUGACGCUCAUGCACGAAAGCGUGGGGAGCAAACAGG